Molecule: long non-coding RNA, 697 nt
Filed under: Androctonus crassicauda
Lineage: Eukaryota; Metazoa; Arthropoda; Arachnida; Scorpiones; Buthidae
Source: RNAcentral
CUAUAUUAAUCUUGAAGCCUCUUAUAGAGUUUGUUUUAAUAAAUUUUAUUUCUAUCAUAUGAAAUUCUUUAACAAUGUUUUAUAUAUUUUCAUUCUGUUUAUUUCUAUUAGUAAAAAAAAAGCAUUAUUAUAUAGGAGUACUAAACUUUAGUUAGAGUCAACACUGUUCUUAGAGAGCUACUUAAGGAACAAAGUAACAUUGAAAGACCAUUGAAAAAACAAAGCAAUAUUAAUCUUAAACAUUCAAAUCAGUUACAUUCCCAAUUGUUCACACUUUACGACAAUAGUUCUCUUUUAUAGGACAAUCGAAUUUGAUAAAAUUUAGCUUCAUUUUGAAAUUAAAGAAUAUAGAUAAAAUUAAGUUUAUCUGAUUUAUUAAUCCAGCAAUGGUGACAUGUUUAUCCAAUGGAGUCAGAUUUCAUUCAGGCUGUGAGCCCAAGUUUUUAUUAAAAAAUUUUCAUUAUUUUUUUAAUCUACGUCAUCUGAUUGAAUUAAAGCUUUUAUUUUUGACAAGUCUAUUCUAUAAUGCAAAAAAAAAUCAUUUUUCUAUGUUAUGUUGCUGUUUUUUAAUAAAUUAUUAUGUAAUCCGAUACCUGCUUAGCGAAAUUAUGUAAACAAACAAAGAGAUCGCAUUUCAGACAGCCCUAAAUCUUUUCCUGACAUCAGAACAAACACAAUUCCUGCUUUAUAUAUAAAU